GACGAACGCUGGCGGCGUGCUUAACACAUGCAAGUCGAGCGGUAAGGCCCUUCGGGGUACACGAGCGGCGAACGGGUGAGUAACACGUGAGUAAUCUGCCCAUCACUUCGGGAUAACUCCGGGAAACCGGUGCUAAUACCGAAUAUGACCACUUCAGGCAUCUGAUGGUGGUGGAAAGUUCCGGCGGUGAUGGAUGAGCUCGCGGCCUAUCAGCUUGUUGGUGGGGUAGUGGCCUACCAAGGCUUCGACGGGUAGCCGGCCUGAGAGGGUGACCGGCCACACUGGGACUGAGACACGGCCCAGACUCCUACGGGAGGCAGCAGUGGGGAAUAUUGGACAAUGGGCGAAAGCCUGAUCCAGCAACGCCGCGUGAGGGAUGACGGCCUUCGGGUUGUAAACCUCUUUCAGCAGGGACGAAGCGAAAGUCACGGUACCUGCAGAAGAAGCACCGGCCAACUACGUG
Molecule: ribosomal RNA, 463 nt
Filed under: uncultured bacterium
Lineage: Bacteria
Description: partial 16S ribosomal RNA
Rfam family: Bacterial small subunit ribosomal RNA
Source: RNAcentral